This 293-nucleotide unclassified non-coding RNA is filed under the name uncultured fungus. RNAcentral describes it as "sequence contains ITS1". Lineage: Eukaryota; Fungi. The record is from RNAcentral.
GGACUACAAGGGUUUCUAAUCCUGUUUGCUCCCCACGCUUUCGCACCUGAGCGUCAGUAUUGGUCCAGGAAGCCGCCUUCGCCACUGAUGUUCCUUCCGAUAUCUACGCAUUUCACCGCUACACCGGAAAUUCCGCUUCCCUCUCCCAUACUCGAGCAAGGCAGUUUCGGAUGCAGUUCCCAGGUUGAGCCCGGGGAUUUCACACCCGACAUACCAAGCCGCCUACGUGCGCUUUACGCCCAGUAAUUCCGAUUAACGCUCGCACCCUCUGUAUUACCGCGGCUGCUGGCACU